This 534-nucleotide unclassified non-coding RNA is filed under the name Hevea brasiliensis (rubber tree). The record is from RNAcentral. Lineage: Eukaryota; Viridiplantae; Streptophyta; Magnoliopsida; Malpighiales; Euphorbiaceae.
AAUGGGAAAGAAAACAAAGAAACCAGGCAAAGGUAAAGAGAAAACAGAGAAGAAAACAGCUAAAGCAGAAGAGAAAAGAGCCCGUAGAGAAUCAAAGAAGCUCUCCCCUGAAGACGACAUCGAUGCUAUACUGCUGAACAUACAAAAAGAGGAAGCUAAGAAGAAGGAAAUUCAUGUUGAAGAGAAUGUCCCUGCACCUUCUCCUCGAUCCAAUUGUUCGUUGAGCAUUAACCCGUUGAAGGAGACCGAAUUAGUUCUCUAUGGUGGUGAAUUUUACAAUGGCAGCAAGACAUUUGUAUAUGGCGAUCUCUACCGGUAUGACGUGGAAAAGCAAGAGUGGAAGUUGAUUUCAAGCCCCAACAGUCCGCCUCCUCGCAGUGCACACCAAGCAGUUGCUUGGAAAAAUUAUCUUUAUAUUUUUGGUGGUGAAUUUACAUCUCCUAAUCAGGAGCGAUUCCACCAUUACAAGGAUUUUUGGGCAUUGGACUUGAAAACAAACCAAUGGGAGCAGCUAAAUUAUAAAGGGUGUCCUAG